Molecule: long non-coding RNA, 3470 nt
Organism: Panicum virgatum (switchgrass)
Lineage: Eukaryota; Viridiplantae; Streptophyta; Magnoliopsida; Poales; Poaceae
Exons: 2
Source: RefSeq, a predicted model, not a curated record
GUGGUCCCGCCCCCUCUUCCGCCCCCUCUCCCGCGCCGCCCGUCUACCUGCAGGUGACUGCGCCGCCGCUGCCGCGCUCCCAGGCACGCUGACCGUCGCGCUCCACCUGCUUGUAGACCGCGCGCUCCGGCCGCUGCACUCCCCUGCUCGCGGGCUGCGAGCUCCACCGGCCGCCGCGCCUUCGAGCUUCGCUGGCCGCGAGCUCCGAUCCGGUGGCAGCCGCUCCGAUCCGGCUGCCGCCGCGCCUCCCUGCUCACCGGCAGCGAGCUCCGGCGGCCGCCGCGCCUCCCUGCUCCCCGGACAGGAGCUCCGCUGGCCGCAUGCUCCGCCGGCCGCGCGCGCCUCCCUGCUCCCGGUUCUGAGCUUCGCUGGUCGCUACGCCUCCCUGCUCGCCUGCCACGAGCUUCGCCGGCCGCAAGCGCCUCCCUGCUCGCUGGCCGCGAGCUCCUUUGCUCGCCGGCGUACAGCUUGUGCGCGCUGGCCGUGAGCCGGAGUCCAAGGCCUCGGGCGCGCCAUCCUUGAGCUCGGGCUCGCCGGCGUUGCACGCCGUGAAUGGGAGGAGGGAGAGAGGAUGAAAGGAUAAGAGACGAGAGGAUAGGAUAGGAGAGAGGAUGACGUGGAACUGAUUUUGAAUGUAGCUAUCGUAUUUAGCUAAUCUCUUGAAUUAUAUCAAAGAAUUAGAUAGUUUUCUAUUUUUAAUCUCUAAAUUUAACUAACAUAAUACAUAAACUCUUCGAGAUGCUCUUAUUUUGUAUUCUGUAGCCGAACCUCGUGGGACUCGAGUCUCCCGGAUCGAACCAACCUGCGCCCGCCGGCGCCCGAGUACUCGACGAUGGUCCCGCUCCCGCACAGCCAGCUCGCGCUCCCAAGCCGCGGGUCGGCUCAGCUCCAACCGUCUCGACGCCAAGAGUCCACCAGCUCGAGCCGUGCGGCGCCCCGAAAUCACGCUUCAUCGUUGACCUCAGGGCCCCCCCUCCACAUCGCCUGCUUCGCGCGCCGCCGCUGGAGACGAUCCCGUCCGCGGCGAUCUGUCCGAACUGCCGCCACUCGUUUAUUGGUUGCAAGACUUCUACAAUCUAUGGCCUCCCGCUUCCACAUCGUUCCAUGGAGCUCGGCAUCCUGGCGUGGGCACCGGAGAUGCAGAUCUUAGCGGUGGUGCAGAUCUAGCAUUGGUUCCCAGCAAGCAGCGAGCGCCCUCAAGAGUUUCCACGGCGUGAGUUGCCAGGCAUGGCUACUGGCUUACUGCUACGGGAAGACAUACGAGCGGGACGGCGGCGCACCCGGGGACGCAGGCAUCCUCACCGCGGCUGCACGUCGCCCAGGCACGAUUAACUAUGGGUGGUGUUGAUGCAUUUUCUGUGUUUACGUAAUUGCUCAAGAGAAGCUGAUGAAUGCGCAGCUCAUUUCUCUGUGCAGUUACAGGUUUCUUCCUGCAGAUUCAGGUUGGAUCCCAUCAUUCAUUGAAUUAGAUUGUUCUCUUUACUGUACAUACGUUUGUUCAGUGUUUUUCCGUUGUUCUGAUUACCCUCAAGGAAUUGGUUCUUGUUCUAGCCAUAUCAUCUGAAUUUCAUUUUGACACCUGGCUGCAUUGACUUAUUUGAUUCUACAGAUUUCAGGUACUAGCUGGUUUCAUGUUGGUAGUGGUUUAAUCAUGCUUUUAAAAUUACGUGAAAGUGAAACCAGAUCUUUUAUUGAUAUCAUAACAUAGAUCACUUUUCUAGUAAACUCAUAUGUUAAUCAUACCUAAUUCUGGUAAUCCAUGCAUGGAUUCUCUUUUUUCCUUGCACAGUCUGAGCUACGAUUUUGGGUGCAAUCCUAUUAAUGUAAAAUGAAUUUACCAAAAUUAUUUUGGAUUUCAUGUGUUUUUUCCCAAGUUGUUCCGUAGUAUCUUUGAUCCUAAAUUUCCAGUAGAGACAAGAUCCCGAGGUGAGCAGCUGCACACAGAUGCAUCCAGCCAUCAACCCUGAGGUUGAUUCCUCUAUUUUAUGUUUCUUGAUUGAUCCUGCACCAAUUUUCAGCUUAAUUCCAAAUAUCUGACUAGUGAUUAUUCCAUUGCAUCAUCCGGAUUUAGGUAGCUGUAGCCUGUAGGUUCAGUUCAUGGUUUCAUCGAUUUAGUUAAUAGUGCCAAACCAAAAUUCAAUUAAUUGCACCCUAUCAUUAAAAGUGUCAUUGUGGUAACUUGAUGAAGCCAUUGUGCUAAUUAUCUGAAAUUAUCCUAUAUCACAUAUAAGGGGGCAAUUAUUCUAGACAUUUUAAAAAGAUUACCAUAAAUCACAUAUAGUGGGCACCAAUGGCUGAUCACCAUACAUGCUGACUUGUAUCUGGUAAACUGUUAUCAUUUUCUAAAUACAUAUAUGCCUUAUGAUACAUUACUCCAGGUACUAUUUUCAUAACUCUGGUAUAUUCAAUUCUAGUCGAUUGGUCAUCAUUUUUAUAGUAAAUUGAUUAUGCCAUUUUCAUAAAUUUAUAAUACCUUUGUAGUAAAAUAACCCACCAUUCUGGUAUGUUAGAUUCUAGUAAAUUAGGCAUAAUUUGAUAUAAGUUCUAGUACAUUACAUUGUCGUAUAUUGGAUUACUGCAUGUGGUAAGUUUGCUCAUACAUAUGACUUGUCUAUGCACUAGUGAAGGGUCAGUUCGAUUCUGUUUUGUUGGCAGAUGAAAAUUACUGCUUCAUUUGUUGGCAACUAGGUAUAUGAGAGGAAUGCAAAUCUGUGUGAUGUUUUCUACUUUAUAUGUCCCUUUUUUCAAUCAUAUGUAUCACGACAUGUAUAUCUGAUAUGUAAAGAACUAAUAUAGUUGUGAAACUUGAUUCACUGCUUACAUUACCUGGUUUUUUAGAUGCAGAAAGCUAGUUUGCUUCUACUACUGUAGGCUGUUAGUACACUCUGAUCAUUGUGUCCAGUAGAAAAAAAAAAGACAAUGCUUAGACAGGAGUGCUUCUCUCAGUGUUACAGAAAGCGAACUGCCGAGAAAAGGAUACACCGGUUGAGUACUGGACUAAGAGCAUCAUUGGCUGAUCUAUGAAAAAUGACAUAGACCAGGUCUUGCAGGUGGUGUGUCGCUCAGCAUCGGUGGCGGCCAGUGCCAGUUAGCUACUGCAGUGGAGACUAAAAUCAGUUGAGCAUGGGAUCGGAGCUGCUCAUUCUUACCACCCACUAAACACGAUCAAGAUGCUUCCUGCUGUACUUAGGCACACUGGACACUGGAAUACUCUCUGCUCAGGAGCGCUCUUGUUUGGUGCAGAAGUAAAUACAUAAACCUAUGUUUUAUUUGUUGUACCUUUGAUUGAUGAACAUAUGUAUCAAUAUAUUCUGUACAACUCAAUCUAGGUGGCAUAUGCUAAAACUCAGUUUGAGACUUGUGCUAUGCCCCCACCAUUUUCGUAACUUAUUGUACAAAUAUGGUACAGAGACAACUGAAAGUAUCGUAUUACGGGAUAUCUCAUUUUAAUAAACUAUCAUUUGUAGUAA